UACGGAGGGUGCAAGCGUUAUCCGGAAUCACUGGGUUUAAAGGGUGCGUAGGCGGUCUUGUAAGUCAGUCGUGAAAUCGCUGGGCUCAACCCAUGCAACUGCGAUUGAUACUGCUUGACUUGAAUAAGGUUGAGGUAGGCGGAAUGUGGCAUGUAGCGGUGAAAUGCUUAGAUAUGCCAUAGAACACCGAUUGCGAAGGCAGCUUGCUGGACCUUUAUUGACGCUGAGGCACGAAAGCGUGGGGGGCAAACAGGAUUAGAUACCCUGGUAGUCCACGCCCUAAACGAUGUUUACUUGCUGUUCGGCCUUCGGGCGGAGUGGCGAAGCGAAAGCGAUAAGUAAACCACCUGGGGAGUACGCCGGCAACGGUGAA
Molecule: ribosomal RNA, 373 nt
Filed under: uncultured bacterium
Lineage: Bacteria
Description: bacterial SSU rRNA
Rfam family: Bacterial small subunit ribosomal RNA
Source: RNAcentral